GUUUAGAUAGUUUAUAGAAAAUGUUAGUUUGUGGCACUAAAGAAAUAAGGUUUUAUUCUAGACA
Molecule: transfer RNA, 64 nt
Filed under: Clibanarius infraspinatus
Lineage: Eukaryota; Metazoa; Arthropoda; Malacostraca; Decapoda; Diogenidae
Description: tRNA-His
Source: RNAcentral